RNAcentral lists this ribosomal RNA (774 nucleotides) under uncultured Bacteroidota bacterium. RNAcentral's name for it is "bacterial SSU rRNA". It matches the Rfam family "Bacterial small subunit ribosomal RNA", at positions 91 to 868 of the family's 1533-position model. The record is from RNAcentral. Lineage: Bacteria; Pseudomonadati; Bacteroidota.
GAGACCGGCGCACGGGUGCGUAACGCGUAUGCAAUCUACCUUGUACAGGGGAAUAGCCCAGAGAAAUUUGGAUUAAUGCCCCAUAGUAUAAUUGAAUCGCAUGGUUUAAUUAUUAAAGUUCCAACGGUACAAGAUGAGCAUGCGUCCCAUUAGUUAGUUGGUAAGGUAACGGCUUACCAAGACAAUGAUGGGUAGGGGUCCUGAGAGGGAGAUCCCCCACACUGGUACUGAGACACGGACCAGACUCCUACGGGAGGCAGCAGUGAGGAAUAUUGGUCAAUGGGCGCAAGCCUGAACCAGCCAUGCCGCGUGCAGGAAGACGGUCCUAUGGAUUGUAAACUGCUUUUAUACAGGAAGAAACAACUCUACGUGUAGAGUCUUGACGGUACUGUAGGAAUAAGGAUCGGCUAACUCCGUGCCAGCAGCCGCGGUAAUACGGAGGAUCCAAGCGUUAUCCGGAAUCAUUGGGUUUAAAGGGUCCGUAGGCGGUCUUAUAAGUCAGUGGUGAAAUCUCCUAGCUCAACUAGGAAACUGCCAUUGAUACUGUAAGACUUGAAUUUUUGUGAAGUAACUAGAAUAUGUAGUGUAGCGGUGAAAUGCUUAGAUAUUACAUGGAAUACCAAUUGCGAAGGCAGGUUACUAACAAACGAUUGACGCUGAUGGACGAAAGCGUGGGGAGCGAACAGGAUUAGAUACCCUGGUAGUCCACGCCGUAAACGAUGGAUACUAGCUGUUCGGGGCAAUCUGAGUGGCUAAGCGAAAGUGAUAAGUAUC